GCCCUAGUAGCCCAAUUGGCAGAGGCAACGGUCUCAAACACCGUCAAGUGUGGGUUCGAGUCCCACCUGGGGCACCA
Molecule: transfer RNA, 77 nt
Filed under: Ilumatobacter sp.
Lineage: Bacteria; Bacillati; Actinomycetota; Acidimicrobiia; Acidimicrobiales; Ilumatobacteraceae
Description: tRNA-Leu
Rfam family: tRNA
About the family: Transfer RNA (tRNA) molecules are approximately 80 nucleotides in length.
Source: RNAcentral